CGGUAAGUUUUCCCCUGUUUACAAAUUUUAUUACAUCUUUCCAUAGGAUUCUGUCGGUACCUACUAACUGCAAGGACAAAUUUGGAGAAGCAAAAUGGCAGUUCAACAGAAUCUUACAUCCAUUCUGGUUCUAAAGGAGCCGGCUGAACAGGACCUGGUAUUAAGCCUGAAUUAAGAAGCAGGGACUCCAGUCAAGAAGAAUGUUUGAGAUGGAAGAAGGGUACAAGAGAAACAUUAUAGAAUGUGUAAGAGCAGCAAAAGCAAGUCCUUUAUGUGUCUAGGCUGAACUGCCGCAUGCCACUCAGACACAAGCCAUGACGACCCAACGGUCACUGUCCAACCGACUUUCAGCUGGAUAGGAGAGACGUCGCAGGAGUUUAGUCUUGGAGAUACAGAGCUUUUGGAAGAUUUCAGAGUGAAUAAAGGAGGAUUUUUUUAGCAGAAGAAAGAAGAAGGAGUGAGAGAGAAGAAAGAGAGGAGGAGGAGAUUUAUCAAGAAGAAGAAAAAUGAAUAGCAAGAAAAAGAGAAGAAGAGGCAGUAGCCCAGUGGAUGAUCCAGGAGGUAAGGAGAUGAAACUAUCAGUAUAUUGCUAUAGGAACAUACUCAUAUAACCUUUUACUUUUCUGGUAAAAAAAGCAGAGAUGAGCUUCUUACUGUAUAUUAUAGUAGAACCCCCCAAAGUGGGGAAUAAGUGCAUUAUACAUAAUAUAUUGGUUGGGCCAUAGUAAACUGGUGUAGAAUGAGGGAAAACUUAAAAUCAUGGUAAAAAUCAAUGUAAAAAUGAGGUUUCACAGUAUGUUCUUGGGAUAAUUGUACCUAUAGUAUAUUGCUAUAGGAACAUACUCAUAUAACCUUUUACUUUUCUGGUAAAAAAGCAGAGAUGAGCUUCUUACUGUAUAUUAUAGUAGAAACCUCCAAAGUGGGGAAUAAGUGCAUUAUACAUAGUAUAUUGGUUGGGCCAUAGUAAACUGGUGUAGAAUGAGGGACAACUUAAAAUCAUGGUAAAAAUCAAUGUGAAAAAUAUGG
This is a long non-coding RNA of Xenopus laevis (African clawed frog), 1026 nucleotides long. RefSeq lists it as uncharacterized. The record is from RefSeq and is a predicted model, not a curated record. Lineage: Eukaryota; Metazoa; Chordata; Amphibia; Anura; Pipidae. The transcript is spliced from 3 exons.